RNAcentral lists this ribosomal RNA (447 nucleotides) under Triticum aestivum (bread wheat). Its description in RNAcentral is "partial small subunit ribosomal RNA". Lineage: Eukaryota; Viridiplantae; Streptophyta; Magnoliopsida; Poales; Poaceae. The record is from RNAcentral.
AUGCAUCUCUCUUUAUAUCGUAGACUUGAUUUGAAUAAGUUGACACCUACUAAAAUAUCUUUCCAAAUGGCUGACAAAUCAACUGCUAUACCUGUCGGUAUUUGUGAGGAUGUGCCUGUUGUGGUUGCAAACGUUACUAUUUUAACAAACUUUGUUAUUCUUGAUAUUCCCGAGGAUGAUAGUAUGUCUAUUAUUCUUGGAAGACCCUUUUUGAAUAUUGCAGGGGCUGUUAUUGAUUGCACCAAAGGCAAUGUCACUUUUCAUGUUAAUGGUAAUGAGCAUACGGUACACUUUUCGAGGAAACAACCUCAAGUCCACAAUAUUAAUUCUAUUGGAAAAUUUUCAACAAUCACUAUUGGAGGUUAUGAAUUUCCUCUUCCUACUGUCAAGAAGAAAUACGAUAUUCUUAUUGUUGGGGAUGUGCAUAUCCCCGUUGGGGUAACCUAG